GGACGUAGCUCAGUCCGUACAGUGGGUAGACAGUGUUUACCCAACACGCAUUAAGCACUGUAUAAACAGGACAUGGUUGUAGGCACGUGAAACCUCAGUGCUUGAGAGCUGGAGACAGGAGGAUCAGGAAUUCAAAGUCAUCGUUGGCUACAAGCAAGUUUGAGAACAGCCGAAACGCCACAAGACCGACACGGAGUUCCUCAGCAGGCGGUGGAAGGAUGGCUACUCAUACCCUCACUGGCCCACAUGGGACUGUGACAGGCACAGGCGGCUGCGAUAGGCACCAGGUCCUGGUCUGAAGAGGGCAGCAUAAGUCUCUUCCCUCUUUCGGAACACGUCUCUGCAAGAAUAAACCCGAGGCAUCUCACAGUCCUGAGCGCCCACCAGCUGACCAGAAGUCAUGAAGCAGUAGCUCCAGGUGGCCAGUCCCAUCCAACCAUUUGCCUCCAAGUCCAGAGCUUCUCAGGAUGCCAGGUUCUCUCCUCCAGCCCCGAACCACAGGCCCACCUGGCCUUAGCUGGCAACCAGGAUGAUGACCACAGGUAAUGACUCAUUUUUACAUGACCACGCUCUUUUAAAGAGGGAUGGGGAACUUUUUGCCAGCCUAAAAUACCUCACACCGCCAGAGCAUACAGACCUACGCCUCUCCAGACCUCAUUCUGUUUGUUUAAAGGUUUAUUUAGCUAACUGUUUUUGUUUGAGACAUGAUCUCGCUGUGUAGACAACCUUAAA
Rattus norvegicus (Norway rat) is the source of this 732-nucleotide long non-coding RNA. The record is from Ensembl. NCBI's taxonomy places the organism in Eukaryota, Metazoa, Chordata, Mammalia, Rodentia, Muridae.